Pezoporus flaviventris is the source of this 192-nucleotide long non-coding RNA. RefSeq lists it as uncharacterized. The record is from RefSeq and is a predicted model, not a curated record. The transcript has 2 exons. NCBI's taxonomy places the organism in Eukaryota, Metazoa, Chordata, Aves, Psittaciformes, Psittacidae.
ACAGAAAAGAGAGGGCAUUCUGGUGCACUCUCCUAGCCAAGUAGGAUUUUGGGCCUCACCAGAGAUGCUAUGAACCUAGUGCUGUGGAAAUCGCAGUGAUGGUUCACAGCAAGGCUCGCUGUGCAGCACAGCUGGGAAUGUGAGUUUCCUCUGUUGGUAAAGUCUUCAGCAUUUAUCUGUGACACUGAAGGG